GGGGUUUGCCCCGGGGCAGCCGAGCGGGUGCGCAGCUGCGACCGCGCAGAACAAAGGCGGCCGUUCCUCGUCUCGCCACGGGUUACAGCACUGCCAGUUUCCUCCUGAUCUCGCCUGCAUGCUAGAUGUGCUGCCGACACAUAAAGAUGCCUCUAAGAGCAGCAGUAAGGCCUCCAAAAUUACUGAACAGAAUGGAUCUGCUUUAAGAGCAUGUGUUUCACAUAUGUCUCUGCAUUCAAAGACAUUCUGCGACCUCUCUCCUGCCAAAAAAUGUUUCUAAACCGCAGCUAUUUUUUGGAUGCAACGUGGUUAAGAGCACAAGGUGGCAUCACAUAUCCUCAGACAGGCAUUGAGGAACAGCAUCUCCAACCGAAAUUGUUUAAUGGAAGCAGGAUGCAACCACCUGAGCUGGAAUUUCUCUCAGACACUGUGUUUUUGGAAUCAGAUGUCCUGGAUUCAGGAUGUCCUGGAUUCUUCCCUUGCUGUCCUGUGUAACGAAAAUAACCGUGUUAGCUGACGGGCCCAGAAUCUUUUUAAUUGCUCUGCUGCUGCCUACCGUGGCCCUGUUCUGUGAAUAAUAAAAGGGAGUUCAUUCUCCAGGACAGUUGUUCUGAUGCUUUGUAACAGUACCACUAAACCGACUCAUUCAGACACAUGCCUUUGGCCUGUUGGUUGUGAACCAGCUGAAUACAUCCCCAGGGCCAUCUGUGAAAUGCUGCCCUGAUGGAGAGGCAAUGCUGUCUCUGAGCUGGAAGAAGCAAGCAGGAGAUGCACAAAGUUUGAUGAGCAAGUGUUUCUGAGAAGAUGAUUACUGCAAGAUGAAUGUGAUGUUUUCAUAUACAAGAAGGGAGCCAGAGAGGCAGAUAUCUUUGCACCACUCUCAACUGCAGAGGGUGUGGUGAGGUCGACUUCCCUGCCUCUGGUGUGGGUCCUCUCUUUCUCUCCGUCUCUCAGUCCUGCAAGGUUGGUUCCCACAGGAAGGUAGUUCUUCUUCUAAGACAUUAUCUCUAAAUGAGUGUGGAAGUCAUUACAAAAUUUCAUCGUCCUUGAAAAUAACCCCAUAGCCUUUUGCAUAUUGCUCUGUUCAAAUCCUGGCUCCUUAUAUUCCUGGUUUGUUUCCUGUGCUCUCCUAACAGAGGGGAAUACUUAGGCUGAUAGCCCAGCUUUCUCUGUCAUUACCACUCCGGGCAUCAUAGUCGCAUGGUGACCCACUUCUAGCACCUAAAACUUAAAAGACUAAAUGAUUCUCCUCUCCUCUGUCUGGCAGAAUUUCAGCAGCAGAUAUGGAGUCAUGCUAAUCUUUCUGUCAUGCUCGGUAUUUUCCUGCCAUGGGCUGGGCUCAUCACAUCAUUCUCGUUUUUCCACUUUACCCGAGAGGCUCC
Long non-coding RNA from Alligator sinensis (Chinese alligator), 1382 nucleotides. RefSeq lists it as uncharacterized. Lineage: Eukaryota; Metazoa; Chordata; Crocodylia; Alligatoridae. The transcript has 3 exons. The record is from RefSeq and is a predicted model, not a curated record.